Small nuclear RNA from Echinops telfairi (small Madagascar hedgehog), 106 nucleotides. The record is from Ensembl. NCBI's taxonomy places the organism in Eukaryota, Metazoa, Chordata, Mammalia, Afrosoricida, Tenrecidae.
UUCUUGCUUUGGCAGGACAUACACUAAAGUUAGAAUGCUAUAGAGUAGAUUACCAUGGUUUCUGCACAAGAUUGGCAUGCAAAUUGUUGAAGUGUUUCAUACUUUA